CAAGAUUCAUAUGCUUUUAAUAACAUGCAGUGAGUUCAUCACCAUCCAGCUCUGAAAAUAGUUUUUCCCUCUGGGUUGAACUUUUUUUUUUACUCCAAAUGCACUGUAACCGAUUUCUGUAAUUUGAACAGUAUUUUACUGUAUUAUGUACAGUAAGAUACUGUAAAAUGUAUAUACAGUAUUUUACUGUAAACUGCAAAGGAUUAUGGGAAAAUGUAUGGUCACUACAGUAAACUACUGUAAAUUUACAGUAGUGAACUUGCCCGCGAAAAACUGACCAAUGGCAAGGGAGAUUUAUUUUGUUUGCUGUUUGGUGGAAGCAGCGGUAAAAGGACAAAAGAGACACUUUGCACUGUUAACUAGACAAAAAGGUUAGUAGGCAUAUAUUAUUUCUGUUUUAUGCAAAACUGAGAUAUUUUAAGAUGUUUUAACUUAUUAAAAGCAAACUGACAUUAUUCAUCGUGCCGUUUUUCAUGUCGGGAGUUGGGGCCUUUUUUUCUGACUGAUGGCCGGAUUAACGCCGCCAUAACGGUGAUAACAUCGACUGGUGAGUACAUUAAUUUCACCUAUAUUAGUCAAAAUAAACCUUAUUAAACCGAGAAACACGUUUGUAGGUUUGGCUGCCCUUUGAUGCAAGUUAGUUAAUCUGGCCAGUCGUUACUUAACCUUAACAACGAACUAAUGUGAAAUAACGUUACUGAGGUAAAGUGCGUACACAACACCACUGUUUCAAUUCAGUGGAGAUUUUAAACAGUAUUUUCAAGUAAUUCUUUUGUUUGUUGUUUUCAAAUUUCUAGUCUAGAUUUCGUCGACAACGUCGGAGGUGUAUUUUGGCGCCUCUUCUUGUGACUGGCAUAGUUUCGAUGAUAACAUCAACUGGUAAGUUAAUAAUGUCAGUUAGCCGAAGUUAACGAACACAGAGAAGCAUAAUAUCUUCUGUAGCCUACACUGCCUCUUUAUCGCAAGUGUAAUUCUCUUCAAAUGCUAUUUAAGUUAAAAACGUGUUUACCAGUGUUGUAUGUAACUUUAGAGACGGUUCCUAUUCAGUGAGAGACGUAAAAUAAAACCGCGAGCUAACAUGAAAUACUGAGGAAAACUGAGUUAAGAAAUACCACUGUAAAGUACAUCUUUUGUAUUUUAUUUUCAAGUUUGUGGUCUUGUGGUCAUGUCUUCUGCAUCGGAGGAGUAUUGGAGUCUUUUCCUGUGAUUGCCGUCGUAACAACAGGAGAUUUCUUCAAGCAAAAACAGGAUCCUGAAUAUGAGGGCAGAAUCAUCAUACAGCCAGCUGUCCGUUUUACAGAAAUGCAGAAUUAGGUUCAUUCAGAUCUUUGUGGCACCAAAUGCAUUGAAAGUCACAGGUCAGCUGGAAUUCUGGAAAGAGGGUGCAAAGAAAAAGGAUCUGCCUGAAUCCCAUCCUGCUGUUUCUCAUCGGAGAGCUUGUCAACUUUGACUGUCAAAAUGACUGAAAUUUAACACAACACAAACUCAUUUUUACUGUAUUAUUUGAUUUUAUUAACACUACCAGUCAAAAGUUUUUGAACAGUAAGAUUUUUAAUGUCUUCUGCUUACCAAG
Long non-coding RNA from Onychostoma macrolepis, 1573 nucleotides. RefSeq lists it as uncharacterized. The record is from RefSeq and is a predicted model, not a curated record. Lineage: Eukaryota; Metazoa; Chordata; Actinopteri; Cypriniformes; Cyprinidae. The transcript has 3 exons.